ACACAAAAAUGCACAUAUUGUGAGCUCGAUGAGUAGGGCGGGACACGUGGUAUCCUGUCUGAAUAUGGGGGGACCAUCCUCCAAGGCUAAAUACUCCUGACUGACCGAUAGUGAACCAGUACCGUGAGGGAAAGGCGAAAAGAACCCCGGCGAGGGGAGUGAAAAAGAACCUGAAACCGUGUACGUACAAGCAGUGGGAGCCUCUUUUAUGGGGUGACUGCGUACCUUUUGUAUAAUGGGUCAGCGACUUAUAUUCUGUAGCAAGGUUAACCGAAUAGGGGAGCCGAAGGGAAACCGAGUCUUAACUGGGCGUUAAGUUGCAGGGUAUAGACCCGAAACCCGGUGAUCUAGCCAUGGGCAGGUUGAAGGUUGGGUAACACUAACUGGAGGACCGAACCGACUAAUGUUGAAAAAUUAGCGGAUGACUUGUGGCUGGGGGUGAAAGGCCAAUCAAACCGGGAGAUAGCUGGUUCUCCCCGAAAGCUAUUUAGGUAGCGCCUCGUGAACUCAUCUCCGGGGGUAGAGCACUGUUUCGGCAAGGGGGUCAUCCCGACUUACCAACCCGAUGCAAACUGCGAAUACCGGAGAAUGUUAUCACGGGAGACACACGGCGGGUGCUAACGUCCGUCGUGAAGAGGGAAACAACCCAGACCGCCAGCUAAGGUCCCAAAGUCAUGGUUAAGUGGGAAACGAUGUGGGAAGGCCCAGACAGCCAGGAUGUUGGCUUAGAAGCAGCCAUCAUUUAAAGAAAGCGUAAUAGCUCACUGGUCGAGUCGGCCUGCGCGGAAGAUGUAACGGGGCUAAACCAUGCACCGAAGCUGCGGCAGCGACGCUUAUGCGUUGUUGGGUAGGGGAGCGUUCUGUAAGCCUGCGAAGGUGUACUGUGAGGUAUGCUGGAGGUAUCAGAAGUGCGAAUGCUGACAUAAGUAACGAUAAAGCGGGUGAAAAGCCCGCUCGCCGGAAGACCAAGGGUUCCUGUCCAACGUUAAUCGGGGCAGGGUGAGUCGACCCCUAAGGCGAGGCCGAAAGGCGUAGUCGAUGGGAAACAGGUUAAUAUUCCUGUACUUGGUGUUACUGCGAAGGGGGGACGGAGAAGGCUAUGUUGGCCGGGCGACGGUUGUCCCGGUUUAAGCGUGUAGGCUGGUUUUCCAGGCAAAUCCGGAAAAUCAAGGCUGAGGCGUGAUGACGAGGCACUACGGUGCUGAAGCAACAAAUGCCCUGCUUCCAGGAAAAGCCUCUAAGCAUCAGGUAACAUCAAAUCGUACCCCAAACCGACACAGGUGGUCAGGUAGAGAAUACCAAGGCGCUUGAGAGAACUCGGGUGAAGGAACUAGGCAAAAUGGUGCCGUAACUUCGGGAGAAGGCACGCUGAUAUGUAGGUGAAGUCCCUCGCGGAUGGAGCUGAAAUCAGUCGAAGAUACCAGCUGGCUGCAACUGUUUAUUAAAAACACAGCACUGUGCAAACACGAAAGUGGACGUAUACGGUGUGACGCCUGCCCGGUGCCGGAA
This 1509-nucleotide ribosomal RNA is filed under the name Escherichia coli. RNAcentral describes it as "partial 23S ribosomal RNA". It matches the Rfam family "Bacterial large subunit ribosomal RNA", at positions 377 to 1874 of the family's 2925-position model. The record is from RNAcentral. Lineage: Bacteria; Pseudomonadati; Pseudomonadota; Gammaproteobacteria; Enterobacterales; Enterobacteriaceae.